RNAcentral lists this ribosomal RNA (256 nucleotides) under uncultured bacterium. RNAcentral's name for it is "partial 16S ribosomal RNA". It matches the Rfam family "Bacterial small subunit ribosomal RNA", at positions 524 to 777 of the family's 1533-position model. The record is from RNAcentral.
UACGUAGGUGACCAGCGUUGUCCGGAUUUACUGGGCGUAAAGAGCGCGCAGGCGGUCGUUCAAGUCGAGUGUGAAAGCCCCCCGGCUCAACUGGGGAGGGUCAUUCGAUACUGAUCGACUUGAAGGCAGGAGAGGGAAGUGGAAUUCCCGGUGUAGUGGUGAAAUGCGUAGAUAUCGGGAGGAACACCAGUGGCGAAGGCGACUUCCUGGCCUGUUCUUGACGCUGAGGCGCGAAAGCUAGGGGGAGCAAACGGGG